RNAcentral lists this ribosomal RNA (575 nucleotides) under Meyerozyma guilliermondii. RNAcentral's name for it is "eukaryotic LSU rRNA". The stretch from base 165 to 318 matches the Rfam family "5.8S ribosomal RNA". Lineage: Eukaryota; Fungi; Ascomycota; Pichiomycetes; Serinales; Debaryomycetaceae. The record is from RNAcentral.
UCCAUCAUUUGCAGCGCUUACUGCGCGGCGAAAACCUUACACACAGUGUCUUUUUGAUACAGAACUCUUGCUUUGGUUUGGCCUAGAGAUAGGUUGGGCCAGAGGUUUAACAAAACACAAUUUAAUUAUUUUUACAGUUAGUCAAAUUUUGAAUUAAUCUUCAAAACUUUCAACAACGGAUCUCUUGGUUCUCGCAUCGAUGAAGAACGCAGCGAAAUGCGAUAAGUAAUAUGAAUUGCAGAUUUUCGUGAAUCAUCGAAUCUUUGAACGCACAUUGCGCCCUCUGGUAUUCCAGAGGGCAUGCCUGUUUGAGCGUCAUUUCUCUCUCAAACCCCCGGGUUUGGUAUUGAGUGAUACUCUUAGUCGGACUAGGCGUUUGCUUGAAAAGUAUUGGCAUGGGUAGUACUGGAUAGUGCUGUCGACCUCUCAAUGUAUUAGGUUUAUCCAACUCGUUGAAUGGUGUGGCGGGAUAUUUCUGGUAUUGUUGGCCCGGCCUUACAACAACCAAACAAGUUUGACCUCAAAUCAGGUAGGAAUACCCGCUGAACUUAAGCAUAUCAAAGCCGGGAAGGAAA